Long non-coding RNA from Dermacentor andersoni, 581 nucleotides. RefSeq lists it as uncharacterized. The record is from RefSeq and is a predicted model, not a curated record. NCBI's taxonomy places the organism in Eukaryota, Metazoa, Arthropoda, Arachnida, Ixodida, Ixodidae.
CCCAUGUUUCAGUGCGGCCUGUCGCGUACACUCGCCGCGUGCAGCUCGCAAAGCAGCCGAAAAUGCAGCCCGCGUGCGCGCGCCGAGCUUUUCGACGCGCGCCGCGGUGGUUCCCUUGCAAGGUGCCUCACGUGUCGGAGGCGGAUCGGCGCGGAGUCGUGCUGGGCGAUGUGACACCAACAGAUGCCACGACCUUGCGAUCGCUGUCUGGUGGUGGUACAAGGAACAUUGCAAGGAACCCAGCAGCGGUGACGUCACCCGCGUCCUACGCUGUGAUUGGUUGGCCUAUUCGGCAAGGGAACAGCCACGCAGCACCCACGGUCAUGAAAACCCAGACAGGACACACCUGGCACGUAUGUGGACCAUGCUGUCCCAAACACCGGUAACAUCGUGUUCGUAUCCGCUCCCACAGAGGCCAGCGUCUUCCCUACAGCUGUCACCGCAGAAGAAGCAGUCUGGCACCCGAACAAAGGAGAAAUCACAGGGUUGUCGUCUGCUACUGCUCCCGAGUGUACUGUUGGAAGUGCCCGCUAGGUGGCUAUCAGUAGCGCCUCUAUAGGCGGUGCACGAGGCCUAUAGUA